GAGUUUGAUCGUGGCUCAGGAUGAACGCUAGCGGCAGGCUUAACACAUGCAAGUCGAGGGGCAGCGGGGAGGAAGCUUGCUUUCUCCGCCGGCGACCGGCGCACGGGUGAGUAACACGUAUGCAACCUGCCCCUGUCAGGGGACAACCCGCCGAAAGGCGGGCUAAACCCGCGUACAUGCCACCGGGGCAUCCCGGAGGCAGGAAAGGCUUCGGCCGGACAGGGAUGGGCAUGCGGCGCAGUAGGCAGUAGGCGGGGUAACGGCCACCUAACCGACGAUGCGUAGGGGUUUUGAGAGGAAGGUCCCCCACACUGGUACUGAGACACGGACCAGACUCCUACGGGAGGCAGCAGUGAGGAAUAUUGGUCAAUGGUCGGGAGACUGAACCAGCCAAGCCGCGUGAGGGAGGAAGGUACAGAGUAUCGUAAACCUCUUUGUCAGGGAACAAAGGCGGGACGUGUCCCCGGAUGAGUGUACCUGAAGAAAAGCAUCGGCUAACUCCGUGCCA
RNAcentral lists this ribosomal RNA (508 nucleotides) under uncultured microorganism. RNAcentral describes it as "bacterial SSU rRNA". It matches the Rfam family "Bacterial small subunit ribosomal RNA", at positions 9 to 510 of the family's 1533-position model. The record is from RNAcentral.